Molecule: ribosomal RNA, 227 nt
Filed under: uncultured bacterium
Lineage: Bacteria
Description: partial 16S ribosomal RNA
Rfam family: Bacterial small subunit ribosomal RNA
Source: RNAcentral
GACGAAGGGGGCUAGCGUUGUUCGGAAUUACUGGGCGUAAAGCGCGUGUAGGCGGUUGUUCAAGUCAGGUGUGAAAGCCUUGAGCUCAACUCAAGAAAUGCACUUGAUACUGGAUAACUAGAGGACCGGAGAGGAUAGUGGAAUUCCCAGUGUAGUGGUGAAAUACGUAGAGAUUGGGAAGAACACCAGUGGCGAAGGCGGCUAUCUGGACGGUUUCUGACGCUAAG